Molecule: ribosomal RNA, 132 nt
Filed under: Stegodyphus mimosarum
Lineage: Eukaryota; Metazoa; Arthropoda; Arachnida; Araneae; Eresidae
Description: 5.8S ribosomal RNA
Rfam family: 5.8S ribosomal RNA
About the family: 5.8S ribosomal RNA (5.8S rRNA) is a component of the large subunit of the eukaryotic ribosome. It is transcribed by RNA polymerase I as part of the 45S precursor that also contains 18S and 28S rRNA.
Source: Rfam by way of RNAcentral
AACUCUGAGCAGUGGAUCACUCGGCUCACGAGUCGAUGAAGAACGCAGCCAGCUGCGAGACUUGAUGUGAAUUGCGGGACACAUUGAAACACUAAUUUUUCGAUACCCGGGACCUCGCCUGUCUGAGGUUCG